GCAAUGUGCAAGAUAUAUAUAUUUUCUGUUAUUGUUGGUGGUUCAAAAAGUAUUUUGUGUAAGUUCAUGGUGUUUGUCCUAUUGUGAAUUGUGAUUAUCGGUACUGCGAUAAAUUCAGAAUAGUGUAGUAAAUACCGUUUUGUCAAGAAAACAGUACUAAACCUACAUAACCUCACUUCUACAUGCAAUGCAGAAAAUGCAAUUUCUCAACACAGACAAAAUGAUGAAUGUCCGGGCGCAACCAAAAAAAAAAGAUUGCGGGAGAUACGUAGAAAUUGGAUGAAUUGUUUCAGACUGAUAAUAAUGUUUAUUUGUCAGGAAGAGAAGACGUAAAAAAACAUGUACGCAAUUUUGAAGAAAUUAUUAAUAAUGAACCAAAUUGUUUUCAAGUUUUCAGGGCAAGGAAAAAAAUAAGCUCUCUUUUAGUGAACUCACAAUUAACAAGGCUACAAUAUGUACCACACGGAAACGUCACAAAAAUGCCACAACUACUGAAAUUUAAAAAAUGGUAGGACCGCAUUAAGCGCAGACAAAAGCAAGAAUGAAUUCUCAUCGAAAAAACAUGAGGUAUGAUUUUUUUUAUUUUAAUUAAUUAUAUCGCUUUUCAAUGAAUUGGUUAUAGAGCAAAUAAUUAUUAAAUAAAUAUUUCUGUAUAACGAUUGAAAUGUAGCAGAACAUUGUUAAUUCCAUUGCCAAUGUAUUUUUAUGUUUAAAAAAUUUAUAUUGUGUUUCACAUCAGGUGAUUUUUUUAAAUUUAUGCUCUGGUUGCCCAUGAAGCUUAUGUCAGCAGUUUCAGUUUCACUGCUGACAUAAGUGUCAUGAGUAACUACAGCAGAAAUUAAAAAAAAAAUCACCUGGUACAAAUUUUCAGCGAAUUGGUUCUAGGACAAAUAAUUUUUAAAUGUAUAAAUAUUGCCGCAACGUUUCAAAUACACUGUUAUUUCCAGUGACAAUGUAUUUUUGUGUUUAAUAAAUUUUAUAUUGU
Long non-coding RNA from Zophobas morio, 985 nucleotides. RefSeq lists it as uncharacterized. The record is from RefSeq and is a predicted model, not a curated record. Lineage: Eukaryota; Metazoa; Arthropoda; Insecta; Coleoptera; Tenebrionidae. The transcript has 4 exons.